UAUUAUUGUACUAAGGGGUUUGGUUUGAGUUAGAUAGGAGUAUGGGGGAAAUGACUCUUCCCAACUCAAGGUUUCAAAAACCAUGAAAGUGGUUGAACCAAUCAAGGAAUCCUCAUCAAGAUAUUUUAAGGUUUUUCUAUGGUGUUUCAUCAUACAGGACCUACUUGGUUUGUUUUUUUGCUUCAUUUUAGGUACUUGAAGUUUCAACCAAUUGCUGUUUUGGUUAGAAGAUGAGAAGGCUUCUAGGAUUCCUCCACUGGAGCAGCAGACCAUGAAAUGGAAAAGCAUUAUAUGCAGAAUCUCUAGAUCCUAGUGAUCCUAAUUCCUGAGACAUUUAGUUUUUUUUUUUGUUCUGUACUUCAAUUUUAUUUUUUUCCCUGGAUGUUUCUGAUUCCUGUGAUACAUAAUAUAUAUACUUUUCCUAAAGCAGUGAUGCAAGCUGUUCUCUGGUGAAUAAGUUAAUGAAUCUUAUGUUAUUUUCC
RNAcentral lists this small RNA (482 nucleotides) under Vigna angularis var. angularis. Its description in RNAcentral is "Non-protein coding transcript". Lineage: Eukaryota; Viridiplantae; Streptophyta; Magnoliopsida; Fabales; Fabaceae. The record is from RNAcentral.